Suricata suricatta (meerkat) is the source of this 4935-nucleotide RNA transcript. RefSeq lists it as uncharacterized. The record is from RefSeq and is a predicted model, not a curated record. Lineage: Eukaryota; Metazoa; Chordata; Mammalia; Carnivora; Herpestidae. The transcript has 5 exons.
CCCCUGGGGACCUGGGGAGCAGAGGCUGAAGCGUAGGGGGAGGAGGAACGGCCUCGACAAGCCUUUUAAGAGGCUGGAGUCCACCAGGGCAGAGGGUCUUUGUGUUUUCUGUUCCUCACGGACCUUACCGCCUACUGGCCGAGUUCUUGCAGUUGGUAAACCGAGUUCUGGAGGUAGAGAAAUGUGGCGUAGGGAAAUGAUGCCUCCAAGUAUAUUCCACUAAGUUUCCAGAAGGACUGAAAACACAGUUUAUUAAAUUUAAAGACCAGUUAGGUAAUGCGUAGGACUAACCAACUAAAGAGGGAUCUUCCUACCUGCGUACAGUCUGCUCUUCAGCACGGAGCAACUUUAAGAAGUGUGUUUUCUUUCCUCCUGCCUCCCAGCCCCCUCCCUUCCCCCAGCUGCUAAGUCAGUUCCCAAGGCUAGUAACCCCCCCUGAGAAGCCCAGGCCCGCCCGGGGCCUGCCGGGUCUGGAAGUCCUUCUUGAAGGUUGCAAUUCCCAAGGUUUGGGAAUUGGAAUAUUCUGGUAUUUAUUUCUUCACCACCUUCCCACCCCAGUGCUCUGGGGACAGACUGACCUUCCCACCUCCCUUCCUUUGCUAGCGAGGCCUCAGAGACCACUAGGGGUUACGGCGCUGGCUCAGCCAGAGGCAGGGUGCCAGCUUCCCUACAGGAAAAAUGAAUUCAGGUUCAUGCUUUAAAAUCAUUGGAGGGAAAGAGUAGACAUAAACCAUGAAAAACAUUCUUGGAGCCUUGAGGAAAACAAGAAGCAGGGUUAUGGAAGGUCAAGGUGUGCAGGUGCAUAUUCAGAUGGGAGAGAAAGGGGAGCCCUUCGUUGCCACCCAGGCUCUCCCAAGGCUCAGAGGGACACCCCCUCCUCCCGCCCUAAUCCCCCCAUUAAGGCUGCUCUGAGUUUGUUAUGACAGCGGCUGAAGGCAGCUGAAUUGCUGUUUGCUGUGUCUGCUAAUUGGACUGAAGGGUUGGAAUCUGGACACUGAAAGAGACCAUUGUUGCUGUUUACCUUCUACAGCUGCCUCCCUGGGGACCUUCUGGGUGAAGGGGAGCAGCACGCCCUCAGGGGCCCUGCGCCCAUGCCCUGUCUCUGCACAAGGGACUGGGAUGGGGAGACGGCUCAUCUCAUUGGAUGAUUUGAGCUUCUGCAACACGAAAGAGAGAAGCCCAACACCUGAGUGGGUCUCCAGUCCAGAUCGGGCCCAGGGCCCCCAGGAGUUCCCAGGAGAUGCUUUCCUUCCCUAUUUAUUCCUUUCCUCUUCAGGGGCCCUGGCCUUGCCUCUUCCUGGAGCUCAUCAGGCUGAACCCCUGUACUUUUUCUCAUGUGCUUUCUUCCAGGCCAGUGGUUCUCACUUGGUUAUGCACUGAAACCAUCUGGGGAGCAUUUAAAAGAAAUACUGAUGUUGGGGUCCAGCCCUGGGCCAGUGAAAUCAGAGUAUCUGGGAACGAGGCCUAGACAUCGCUUCUCACCUGGGGCGGGUGGGUGCUUGUCACCCUCCCGCCCGCUUUCCUGCUCUCCUGGGCCAGAGCCGUGUCCAGCACCACGGACAGCUCCCGGGCGGCAGCCGUGGAGUCUCAGGAAGAGGAAAUGUCCGAGGGCAGUUGGCAUUCCAUCUUCAGGAAACUGGGGCUCCGUCCACAGGAUGGACGACAUGAAGGCGGUUUUGGCUGUUAACCCUGAAAUGGACAGGCUGGUCGGGACACAAGCCCUGGCUCCCCGCCCACUUGCUAGGUGACCUCAGGCAAGUCACUCACUGUCUUUGCCUCCUAACUUCCUUCCACGGUCACCCUGAGGGAUCAGUUGGGUGGGUGUGAAUGAGGGUAAGGCUAUGUGCAGGUGGCCAGUGCUGAUUCCAGAGGGACACGGAGUCAGAGGCGCCAUUGGGGUGGGGGCAGUUGGGAGGGCUUCCACGGCUUAGCAAUGAGGGCACGGAUCCCCGGGAGGCGGGUGCCGGGAAGGGCUCCUGCGGUCCGUGACGAAGGCCUGUCUGAGAAGCGGGGCUGGAGCUCUUGUGGCCCUGAGCCGGCAAGCGUCCGGGUGCACGUGCUUCUCAGGAAGAGCCUCCCGAAGGGCCGAGCAGAGCUGUCCAGCAGCCCUGGGAGGGUGGGUGAGGUGCCCCCGCAGCACCCCCGCCCGGCUUGCUCCCCUCAGCCCUCGUCUCCGCAUUCUCCAGGGGCAGCGCCGCCGGAUGCUGUGGCCUCCAGUGAGUGAGCUCAAAGUGGUUCCCGGAGCCCCGGCGCGCCCAGGACUCUCUCUCGGGCCGAUCUCAGGCCAUCAGCGUUGUCAGGAGUGGGCUACAGACAGACUGACUGAGGUCCCUCGGCCUGCGGCCUGGAGACUUUGAGCAACAGGGGCUAUUGUCUUGAAGCAGUCAUUCCUUGUCAAAUAAGCAAGAGCUCGGAGGAAGGAUGGUCUGGGCAUCGCCCCCUACUGAUGGCAGGGGAGCCUCUAGGUCUGCAGGGAAGGGCCAGGCCGAGGCUGGCAUAUGGAGGGAGAGCCCUGGGCACUGGGGCAUGAGCCUUACCCGGCCAGGGCUGCCUUCUGCCGGGUUUGUCCAUCUGGCACCAGCUGGCUUCCCAGUGCUGCCCCCACAGCCAACCGGGCUCCUCCUGCUGCUGUUGCCAUAGCAAUUGGCUGCCAUCUUGUGCUCAGGGUGCUGGCUGCCUCCUAUCUGAUCUUCCCAUGGGACUCCUGGGGGAUGGGACACAGGUCUCCGGAGAUGUACCCCUUCCAGCCAGCCGUCCAAUAAAAAAGCCACGACGGAGGCCAGCUAUGUGUCCGGCUCUGUGCUGAAUGCGCCUCGUGUGUUAAUCUGGCCGAGAGCGCACUCAUGCCAACAGUUUGAAAGGUCCGCACCCAGUUUCUCAUUUCUAUGACAGACCUUUCCUCUCUCCAACCAGGAAACACCAUCAUCUUGCUUAUUCUGCCUUGGAGGCCCGCUCUGCUGAAGCACCAGUUCUCUGGCCCUGGGCUUGAUGUGGCUAACGGGGACCGACUGCCACCUGCUUUAGGCACCGUAUUGGGUUCUCGGACUCCAAGAAGCUGGCCUAGGGAAACACACAUGGGUAGCUUCGUGGGGUCCUAGUGGCCCUUAAAGACCUGGGGACACAAGUCUGCAAUCUCUAGUUUAGAGGGGCAUCUGGCUGACCCAGUCGGUAGAGCAUGUGACUCUUGAUCUCAGGGUCAUGAGUUCAAGCCCCACAUCAGUGUGGAGUCUAUGUCCAAUAAAAUAAUAAUAGUAAUAAAUAAAUAAAUAAAAUCUUGUUUAGAAAAGGGGAGUCAGUGUCACAAAAUGCUUUGAAAUUCCUCUUCCUUGCCCCCAUCCCCACCCAAAGAGAAAAGAGCCAGAGGCCAUUGGAAAGGGACGGUCUCUCAGGCCCUUGGCAGAGAGGAGUCCCCUCCGAGGGCAGGCUCCGUGCUCCGGCCACUGGAGAGGCUCCGACAGGGUCCCUGAGAGAUCCUGAGGCGGUGAGAAUUCCCUCCCUCCGGAGCUCCAGCAGAAGGCAGGGAAUGGUCACCUUGACCUAGCGGGGCACCUCCAAGGGGCACGGAGCAGGGGCCAGCUUUGCUGAGGGUACCUCCAAGGAGGGGCAGGUGGAGAGAGAAAGGAGGCCAUUCUCCACGGAGGCAGGGUAGGCUGGCAGGGAGGGGCUGGGGAUAAUUUAUGAUAUCAUUGCUUCCCAGCCCCCCUUCCCAGCCCCCUGCUCCUGUACUGUUGCUAGGAGAUGCUGGCUACCGAGUCUGGGCUCGGAGGGCGGAGCAGGCAGACACUGCCCCAUCUGGACUCCUCCUCCCCCACUGCAGGGGGGGCCUGCUCUGAGCUUCACCCCCCCACCCCCGUCCCUGCCCAGGUCCCCACACACACCUUCUCUCCUGCCGUCCCCCAAAUCCAGCCCGCCUGGGGCUGCGGGGUUCCCAGAUGGCCUGAGGAUCUGGGACAAGGAAUGGGACACUGAGCAGGGGAGGGGAAGGCAGGGGGCACUCAGCCGGGGAGCUGAGGAGUGGCCGGCACACCUCAGGGCCUCUGGGAGCCAGCCCUGGUCAGGAUGAUGGCGGGGGGGGGGGUGGUCAGAGGUCUUGAGGAGACCAAGUCUUUCCCUUUGGGGAGCCACCAGUACGAUGGGUAAAGCAGACCCCCAUCCACACCCCUCCAAGCUACUGCGAAGUCCAGGUUGGAGGCCCGUAAACGUGUUUAGGGGCGGGGCGGCGAGGAUGGAGGUAGGGCCGGCAGGGAGGUGAGGCUGCACCCUCUGGUCUGAGCGGAGGCGGAGGUGGGCAGCGGAGGGGCUCAGAUCCCCUCCUCUUCCGGAGAGUCUCUCCAGAUUUUAAAGCCCUUGGAGAAGUCAGAUGGGGUGACUCGUAGGGACUCCGGGCGCUGCUGGCUCCUGUGGCUCCUGCCGGGGCAGGGAGGAGGGGACACUGUGGCCAUGGUGGUGCUCCUAACGCAGAUCCCCGUGCGGCCCCCACUCGCACUCUUCGCUUCCAGGUGCCGAGGCUCCUAGGCCCCCCCAUCCCGGGAAGAAGGGAGCUGACCUCGAUCCCACACCCACCAGCUCAUGCGAGCCUUUUCUUAGCCACAAUCUGCUGACAGACCUGGAGUCAUCUGUCCCCGACUUUCAAAGCUGCGUGUCCCCACGAAGGAGGCGUGAGUCACCUGGAGUCACGGGGCUGACCAAAAAGAAGGACCUGUUUCACCCAGCUGGCAUGGGUUCCCUCUGAGAAGCCCUCCUGAAUUGACUCAAAGAGGAGGCCAAACUCUAGCAGGUUGACUGGGCAAGCCUGUUGCCCCUGGAGCCACCUGGGCCAGCCGUGGCCCCGGCUUCCACCCCGGACCCGUCCCAGUCCCGGUGCCGCCGGGCUGGGGCUCCUCUGACACGGCGGUCCAUUCUCAUAUCUAAUAAAGACGCCUGAAUGCUGAACCA